UUAAAUAAACAUGUAUUUAUAAAUCUAUCAAAAUAAAAGUCAUGAGGAAGAAGGGGUCCACAGCCUGACAUCCUCCCCAUCUGCCCAGGAUGGGGGCUGACAGCUGCAGGCCCACAGCAGAGGAGCUCCAGUUCCCAUAAAUUUAAGCUGAAGAAAUUCCUGCAAAGGGGAAGAAAAGCCCGCCGCCCUGGGCCGCCGCCUGGGCUGAAAGAACUACCUCUCUGUUCCUGAGAAAGGCUCUUCGGGCGCAGAUCCUGCCCCGCUUAGACUCCAAGUGGCGGCACUGCCGGCUGAGUUCUUUCACCCCCAGACUCUCAUCCUGCAGCCCCACUGCACAAAAUCUGCACAUGUCCUUCAAGGCUGAAAAUAAGCUAUAGUAAAUACACAUCACAUCAAAAAACAAGACAUCGGCAAAGAAAAUGUUUCACCUUGAAAAUGUGCAGAAAUCUUAAUGGAUUGAGACAAUGGCUAAUGUAAAAUGCCUUUAUUUUAUUAUUUUUUAU
Manis pentadactyla (Chinese pangolin) is the source of this 503-nucleotide long non-coding RNA. RefSeq lists it as uncharacterized. Lineage: Eukaryota; Metazoa; Chordata; Mammalia; Pholidota; Manidae. The record is from RefSeq and is a predicted model, not a curated record. The transcript is spliced from 3 exons.